ACGAACGCUUGCGGCGUGCUUAACACAUGCAAGUCGAACGGAAAGGCCCCCUUGUGGGGUACUCGAGUGGCGAACGGGUGCGUAACACGUGAGUAACCUACCCUUGACUUUGGGAUAACUUCAGGAAACUGGGGCUAAUACCGGAUAGGAGCUCCUGCUGCAUGGUGGGGGUUGGAAAGUUUCGGCGGUUGGGGAUGGACUCGCGGCUUAUCAGCUUGUUGGUGGGGUAGUGGCUCACCAAGGCUUUGACGGGUAGCCGGCCUGAGAGGGUGACCGGCCACAUUGGGACUGAGAUACGGACCAGACUCCUACGGGAGGCAGCAGUGGGGAAUAUUGCACAAUGGGCGGAAGCCUGAUGCAGCAACGCCGCGUGCGGGAUGACGGCCUUCGGGUUGUAAACCGCUUUCGCCUGUGACGAAGCGUGAGUGACGGUAAUGGGUAAAGAAGCACCGGCUAACUACGUG
RNAcentral lists this ribosomal RNA (464 nucleotides) under uncultured bacterium. RNAcentral's name for it is "partial 16S ribosomal RNA". It matches the Rfam family "Bacterial small subunit ribosomal RNA", at positions 29 to 507 of the family's 1533-position model. The record is from RNAcentral.